UUCGGCUUACACCGGCAGUCCCGCCAGAGUGCCCAGCUUUACCUGAUGGCAACUAACGGUAGGGGUUGCGCUCGUUAUGGGACUUAACCCGACACCUCACGGCACGAGCUGACGACAACCAUGCAGCACCUAGUUUCGCGCCCCGAAGGGAAGACCUCUUUCAAGGUCCGUCGCUAACUUUCAAGCCCGGGUAAGGUUCCUCGCGUAUCAUCGAAUUAAACCACAUGUUCCUCCGCUUGUGCGGGCCCCCGUCAAUUCCUUUGAGUUUCAUUCUUGCGAACGUACUCCCCAGGUGGAUAACUUAUCGCUUUCGCUUGGCCACCGACACUGUAUCGCCGACAGCGAGUUAUCAUCGUUUACUGCGUGGACUAC
RNAcentral lists this unclassified non-coding RNA (372 nucleotides) under uncultured Rikenellaceae bacterium. RNAcentral describes it as "contains 16S-23S intergenic spacer region". Lineage: Bacteria; Pseudomonadati; Bacteroidota; Bacteroidia; Bacteroidales; Rikenellaceae. The record is from RNAcentral.